This 492-nucleotide ribosomal RNA is filed under the name uncultured bacterium. RNAcentral's name for it is "partial 16S ribosomal RNA". It matches the Rfam family "Bacterial small subunit ribosomal RNA", at positions 29 to 507 of the family's 1533-position model. The record is from RNAcentral.
AGUGAACGCUGGCGGUAGGCCUAACACAUGCAAGUCGAACGGCAGCACAGUAAGAGCUUGCUCUUACGGGUGGCGAGUGGCGGACGGGUGAGGAAUACAUCGGAAUCUACUUUUUCGUGGGGGAUAACGUAGGGAAACUUACGCUAAUACCGCAUACGACCUACGGGUGAAAGCAGGGGAUCUUCGGACCUUGCGCGAUUGAAUGAGCCGAUGUCGGAUUAGCUAGUUGGCGGGGUAAAGGCCCACCAAGGCGACGAUCCGUAGCUGGUCUGAGAGGAUGAUCAGCCACACUGGAACGGAGACACGGUACAGACUCCUACGGGAGGGAGCAGUGGGGAAUAUGGGACAAUGGGCGCAAGCCUGGUCCAGCCAUACCGCGUGGGUGAAGAAGGCCUUCGGGUUGUAAAGCCCUUUUGUUGGGAAAGAAAAGCAGCAGGUUAAUACCCCGCUGUUCUGACGGUACCCAAAGAAUAAGCACCGGCUAACUUCGUG